AGCCUUAGGAAUGAUCUAAGGUGUGCCCUGCCCAGUGAUUUUUUUAACGGCCGCAGUACCUUGACUGUGCUAAGGUAGCGUAAUCAGUUGGCUUUUAAUUGGAGUCGAGAAUGAACGGGUAAACGGGGGUUAGCUGUCUCUAGUUUGUUUAAUUGAACUUACUUAAAGGGUGAAAAUUCCCUUAUCUAGAAAAAAGACGAGAAGACCCUUGGAGUUUUGAUUAAUUGUUUUCUACACCUUUCUUUGUUGGGGCGACACGAAGGCAAAUUAACCCUUCUUAAAAUAUUUGACUUGACGGUUUUUUCAAGUAAGAGUAAACUACCCUAGGGAUAACAGCAUAAUGUUUAAUAAAGCUUGUGACCUCGAUGUUGGACUAGGAACUAAAUGGCUAGCCGUCAAGUUAGUUUGUUCUGUUCUAACUUAUCCUCCU
This 430-nucleotide ribosomal RNA is filed under the name Pseudunela espiritusanta. Its description in RNAcentral is "partial 16S ribosomal RNA". It matches the Rfam family "Archaeal large subunit ribosomal RNA", at positions 1908 to 2670 of the family's 2987-position model. Lineage: Eukaryota; Metazoa; Mollusca; Gastropoda; Acochlidiacea; Pseudunelidae. The record is from RNAcentral.